GAUGAACGCUGGCGGCGUGCCUAAUACAUGCAAGUCGAGCGAACGGACGAGAAGCUUGCUUCUCUGAUGUUAGCGGCGGACGGGUGAGUAACACGUGGAUAACCUACCUAUAAGACUGGGAUAACUUCGGGAAACCGGAGCUAAUACCGGAUAAUAUUUUGAACCGCAUGGUUCAAAAGUGAAAGACGGUUUUGCUGUCACUUAUAGAUGGAUCCGCGCCGCAUUAGCUAGUUGGUAAGGUAACGGCUUACCAAGGCAACGAUGCAUAGCCGACCUGAGAGGGUGAUCGGCCACACUGGAACUGAGACACGGUCCAGACUCCUACGGGAGGCAGCAGUAGGGAAUCUUCCGCAAUGGGCGAAAGCCUGACGGAGCAACGCCGCGUGAGUGAUGAAGGUCUUCGGAUCGUAAAACUCUGUUAUUAGGGAAGAACAAAUGUGUAAGUAACUAUGCACGUCUUGACGGUACCUAAUCAGAAAGCCACGGCUAACUACGUG
RNAcentral lists this ribosomal RNA (497 nucleotides) under uncultured bacterium. RNAcentral describes it as "partial 16S ribosomal RNA". It matches the Rfam family "Bacterial small subunit ribosomal RNA", at positions 28 to 507 of the family's 1533-position model. The record is from RNAcentral.